AUUUGCACGCCAUUGUGCUUGCCACUAGCAGUCAUCAGUUCUCUUCAAUGACCACUGACAAGCAAAGAAAACAGUCUAGACCCUCCUAAAACUGAGAUGGCUGCACCUGAUUGGACAAACGCUUUACUUGUGGGCUGUCUGCUCCCGGAUAUUAAAACAGACCAACAUGGCAGCUUGUUUGGCUAUUUUCCAUUAUUUUACAAAAAUAUUUCACCGAAAUGUGUUUCUGAAAACAUUUUAUACAAGAA
Molecule: long non-coding RNA, 248 nt
Organism: Etheostoma cragini (Arkansas darter)
Lineage: Eukaryota; Metazoa; Chordata; Actinopteri; Perciformes; Percidae
Exons: 3
Source: RefSeq, a predicted model, not a curated record